Molecule: non-coding RNA, 72 nt
Organism: Phrynosoma platyrhinos (Desert horned lizard)
Lineage: Eukaryota; Metazoa; Chordata; Lepidosauria; Squamata; Phrynosomatidae
Source: the annotation of a GenBank genome assembly
GCCAGCGUGGCCCGGUGGUUUGAUUGCUGGACUAUGACUCUGGAGACCAGGGUUCAGUUCCCUGUUCAGCCG